This 490-nucleotide ribosomal RNA is filed under the name uncultured bacterium. RNAcentral describes it as "partial 16S ribosomal RNA". It matches the Rfam family "Bacterial small subunit ribosomal RNA", at positions 30 to 507 of the family's 1533-position model. The record is from RNAcentral.
AUUGAACGCUGGCGGCAGGCCUAACACAUGCAAGUCGAACGGUAACAGGAAGAAGCUUGCUUCUUUGCUGACGAGUGGCGGACGGGUGAGUAAUGUCUGGGAAACUGCCUGAUGGAGGGGGAUAACUACUGGAAACGGUAGCUAAUACCGCAUAACGUCGCAAGACCAAAGAGGGGGACCUUCGGGCCUCUUGCCAUCGGAUGUGCCCAGAUGGGAUUAGCUAGUAGGUGGGGUAACGGCUCACCUAGGCGACGAUCCCUAGCUGGUCUGAGAGGAUGACCAGCCACCCUGGAACUGAGACACGGUCCAGACUCCUACGGGAGGCAGCAGUGGGGAAUAUUGCACAAUGGGCGCAAGCCUGAUGCAGCCAUGCCGCGUGUAUGAAGAAGGCCUUCGGGUUGUAAAGUACUUUCAGCGGGGAGGAAGGGAGUAAAGUUAAUACCUUGACUCAUUGACGUUACCCGCAGCAGAAGCACCGGCUAACUCCGUG